RNAcentral lists this ribosomal RNA (253 nucleotides) under uncultured bacterium. Its description in RNAcentral is "partial 16S ribosomal RNA". It matches the Rfam family "Bacterial small subunit ribosomal RNA", at positions 524 to 776 of the family's 1533-position model. The record is from RNAcentral.
UACGAAGGGUGCAAGCGUUACUCGGAAUUACUGGGCGUAAAGCGUGCGUAGGUGGUUGUUUAAGUCUGUUGUGAAAGCCCUGGGCUCAACCUGGGAAUUGCAGUGGAUACUGGGCGACUAGAGUGUGGUAGAGGGUAGUGGAAUUCCCGGUGUAGCAGUGAAAUGCGUAGAGAUCGGGAGGAACAUCCAUGGCGAAGGCAGCUACCUGGAUCAACACUGACACUGAGGCACGAAAGCGUGGGGAGCAAACAGG